AGAAAUCUCACCAGGCCCGGACACUGGAAGGAUUGACAGAUUGAUAGCUCUUCCUUGAUUCGGUGGGUGGUGGUGCAUGGCCGUUCUUAGUUGGUUGAGUGAUUUGUCUGGUUAAUUCCGUUAACGAACGAGACCUUAACCUGCUAAAUAGUGACGCGGUUCAUCGAACCGUGGGCCACUUCUUAGAGGGACUAUCGGAUUCAAACCGAUGGAAGUGUGAGGCAAUAA
This 228-nucleotide ribosomal RNA is filed under the name uncultured eukaryote. Its description in RNAcentral is "partial 18S ribosomal RNA". It matches the Rfam family "Eukaryotic small subunit ribosomal RNA", at positions 1208 to 1456 of the family's 1831-position model. The record is from RNAcentral.